UACGAAGGGGGCUAGCCUUGUUCGGAAUCACUGGGCGUAAAGCGCACGCAGGCGGAUCGUUAAGUCAGGGGUGAAAUCCCGAGGCUCAACCUCGGAACUGCCUUUGAUACUGGCGAUCUUUGAGUCCGGGAGAGGUGAGUGGAACUCCGAGUGUAGAGGUGAAAUUCGUAGAUAUUCGGAAGAACACCAGUGGCGAAGGCGGCUCACUGGCCCGGUACUGACGCUCAGGUGCGAAAGCGUGGGGAGCAAACAGG
Molecule: ribosomal RNA, 254 nt
Filed under: uncultured bacterium
Lineage: Bacteria
Description: partial 16S ribosomal RNA
Rfam family: Bacterial small subunit ribosomal RNA
Source: RNAcentral